UGGGGAAUAUUGGACAAUGGGCGCAAGCCUGAUCCAGCCAUGCCGCGUGUGUGAAGAAGGCCUUCGGGUUGUAAAGCACUUUUCGGACGGAACGAAAUCGCACGGGUGAAUAUCCCGUGUGGAUGACGGUACCGUAAGAAGAAGCACCGGCUAACUACGUGCCAGCAGCCGCGGUAAUACGUAGGGUGCGAGCGUUAAUCGGAAUUACUGGGCGUAAAGUGUGCGCAGGCGGCUUCGCAAGUCGAGUGUGAAAUCCCCGGGCUUAACUUGGGAACGGCGCUCGAAACUACGGAGCUCGAGUAUGGCAGAGGGAGGUGGAAUUCCACGUGUAGCGGUGAAAUGCGUAGAGAUGUGGAGGAACACCAAUGGCGAAGGCAGCCUCCUGGGCCAAUACUGACGCUCAUGCACGAAAGCGUGGGGAGCAAACAGGAUUAGAUACCCGCGUAGUCCCUGAGCGGGCUGGCAAGGCGCAU
Molecule: ribosomal RNA, 473 nt
Filed under: uncultured bacterium
Lineage: Bacteria
Description: bacterial SSU rRNA
Rfam family: Bacterial small subunit ribosomal RNA
Source: RNAcentral